UUCAAAAACACAGACCGACCGUUUUCAUCAGCAAAACAUCAAUCUGUCCGACCGUUACAUUCUCUUCAAAACAAUUUACCUCCAUUUCAGCCUUGCUUCAUGCCCAUUAUUGAAAACCAGAGAUUCUCUAAGGUUUGAUUCCCUCCAUGUCUCUACCAUUUAAAAUUAGGGUUCGUAGGUACAUUCAAUUUUUCAGACUAGCCGUAAAGAGAAAACGACACUGGAAAACGACACUGACUGUGACAAACGAUUCCGGCGCCGACGACUUAAUUCCUGGUAAAUUAAGUGCUUUGAUUUCAUACUGAAUGGUCAUCAUUUACGGAAGUGAUUAUAGUGGCCACUCCAAUCAAACUGAUGAGGACAUUGAUGUACAGUUAUGGAAGUCCCUUGUUGGUUUCUUUGCUAUAACAAAAUGUCAGACCACUCAAGAUUUAAGUCGUCGGCGCCGGAAUUUGUCCCAGUCAGUGUUGGCGUCGGAAUCCUGGGUGAAACAAGAACUCACGUGGAGGAAAAUCGGGGCUUUUCUCAGAAAAAUAAAACUGAUCCAACAAAUCACUAUCUCUAUGCAACAUACCAUUAUGCAAAUUAAAUUCAUAAUCAAAACUGAUGCAUAAAGAGGAUUGAAUUGCAAGCUAAUUCGGUGGGAGGAAAUCAAACCAAUAAAUUCAAGAACCAAAGCUUAAUACACCUCCCAUAUAACACGUUAAAUUAUAAAUAGGGGUAGUUUUGAAAUUCGAAAAAUAUAAUAAAUCAGAUUUUAAAUUAUAUUAGGUAACUGUUUAGUUGGAUCCUAGUCAUCGGGUAUUAUUUGAAAAAGUAUGGUGCGGGUUUAUCGUCCAUACCAGCAAUUUAUUUUAUGGAUUAAU
Long non-coding RNA from Prunus persica (peach), 866 nucleotides. RefSeq lists it as uncharacterized. The transcript is spliced from 3 exons. NCBI's taxonomy places the organism in Eukaryota, Viridiplantae, Streptophyta, Magnoliopsida, Rosales, Rosaceae. The record is from RefSeq and is a predicted model, not a curated record.